UAGAAGUUUCUAAAACCCACUCCCAAUCUCUCUGUGUAUUGAUAGACCAAUUUGAGACGGAAGGAUAUAGGAAAGAAAUAAGAAAUAAGAUAGUUCAAAAUUUCUAAUGUAAAAUUUCAUAAACUGUUAGAGAAACUCAACAAAUAUACUCUCAACUAAUUUUAGCCACUCAGAAAAUUUAUUGAUUUACCAAUUCUUUUCUUGAACUAUUGGAGAUGCUCUAUAUAGCUCUCUUCGAAACCCAUAAAUUUUUUUGUUUUCUGUAUUUUCUUUUUUGAAACUGAAUUGAUUUCCGUGAAAUUCCUGUCGACCGAGAAAUUUUUGCGUUCCAAAUGUCUUAACUCUAGUCU
RNAcentral lists this long non-coding RNA (350 nucleotides) under Sorghum bicolor (sorghum). RNAcentral describes it as "long non-coding RNA (SBIC_LNC015022)". Lineage: Eukaryota; Viridiplantae; Streptophyta; Magnoliopsida; Poales; Poaceae. The record is from RNAcentral.